GUUCCGCAAGGAUUAAUAGAGAAACCGGUGGAAAUCCGGUGCGAUCCCGUCACUGUAAUAGGGAGCUUUGAAACAAUUUAUGUCACUGGACCAUGAAGCAAAGUUGAUCUGGGAAGGCGUUUUAAAGUGUUGAACUUAAGUCAGGAGAACUGCUUACAAU
Molecule: non-coding RNA, 160 nt
Filed under: uncultured Blautia sp.
Lineage: Bacteria; Bacillati; Bacillota; Clostridia; Lachnospirales; Lachnospiraceae
Source: RNAcentral